Molecule: ribosomal RNA, 216 nt
Filed under: Escherichia coli
Lineage: Bacteria; Pseudomonadati; Pseudomonadota; Gammaproteobacteria; Enterobacterales; Enterobacteriaceae
Description: partial 23S ribosomal RNA
Rfam family: Bacterial large subunit ribosomal RNA
Source: RNAcentral
CGAAUGCUGACAUAAGUAACGAUAAAGCGGGUGAAAAGCCCGCUCGCCGGAAGACCAAGGGUUCCUGUCCAACGUUAAUCGGGGCAGGGUGAGUCGACCCCUAAGGCGAGGCCGAAAGGCGUAGUCGAUGGGAAACAGGUUAAUAUUCCUGUACUUGGUGUUACUGCGAAGGGGGGACGGAGAAGGCUAUGUUGGCCGGGCGACGGUUGUCCCGGU